GGGGUACAGAGGUGUUGUAUGUGGGGUUUUGGGGGGCUCCAAAUCCAUACCCAUCGUGCCAAAUCCUGUCACCAUCGUGCCUAAUCCUGUUCCCAUCGUGCCAAACUCCGUCCCCAUCGUGCCAAACUGUCCCCAUCGUGCCAAGUCCUGUCCCCAUCGUGCCUAACUUUGUCCCCAUCGUGCCAAAUCCUGUCAUCAUCGUGCCAAAUCCUGUCACCAUAGUGCCAACUUUGUCCCUAUCGUGCCAAAUUCUGUCACCAUCGUGCCAAAUCCUGUCACCAUCGUGCCUAACUUUGUCCCCAUCGUGCCAAACUCCGUCCCCAUCGUGCCAAAUCCUGUCCCCAUCGUGCCAAAUCCUGUCACCAUAGUGCCAACUUUGUCCCCAUCGUGCCAAAUCCUGUCCCCAUCGUGCCAAAUCCUGUCACCAUAGUGCCAAACUGUCCCCAUCGUGCCAAAUCCUGUCCCCAUCGUGCCAAACUGUCCCCAUCGUGCCAAUCCUUCUGUCCCCAUCCAGCCCGUAACAGCCACGGGCUCACCUGAGAGGGGCGGGGACCUGCCCUAUUCUGCUCCAUAUUAAUGAGCCCUUCCUCCUCCUCCUCCUCCUCCUCCUCCUCCUCCUCCUCCUCUUUCCCCUGCCGGUGUCCCGGAGCGCUGCCCGGUGCCAGCCGCGCUCGGUGCCAGCCCGGCUCGCCAUGGCCCGUGUCCCCCUGGCCCGUGUCACCCUCGUGUCGCAGCUCUGGCUCCUGCUCCAAACCUCCUGCCUCUGCCUGGCCCAGCUCCGAGGGCCACCAGGAGAACCUGGCCCACGAGGGCCCCCCGGUCCCCCAGGAGUGCCAGGAGCCGAUGGCAUCGACGGUGACAAAGGCCCUGUAGGAUCUGCCGGCUCCCCGGUGAGUCCCCACCCUGUCCCUCAGCCUGGCGGUGAUCCCGCGCCUUCCCCGGGGCCUGGUUCCAGCCUGAUCCCAAUUUUUCAUUUUUCCAGGGUGUCAAGGGCGAGCCUGGAGCUCCUGGUCCGGAUGGAGCCCCAGGGAAGCCGGGCAUUGAUGGCCUGACGGGAGCCAAAGGGGAGCCAGGACCCAUUGGCAGGCCAGGAGUCAAAGGCCAGCCCGGACUCCCAGGGCCACCAGGGCUCCCUGUGAGUAUCUGCUCUCCCACGGGUGGGGUGGGCACCCCCCAAGUCCCCCCUGCUCCAUCCUUGCU
Molecule: long non-coding RNA, 1200 nt
Filed under: Taeniopygia guttata (zebra finch)
Lineage: Eukaryota; Metazoa; Chordata; Aves; Passeriformes; Estrildidae
Description: lncRNA (ENSTGUG00000028895.1)
Source: RNAcentral